GACGAACGCUGGCGGCGUGCUUAACACAUGCAAGUCGAACGGUAAGGCCCUUCGGGGUACACGAGUGGCGAACGGGUGAGUAACACGUGGGUGAUCUGCCCUGCACUUCGGGAUAAGCCUGGGAAACUGGGUCUAAUACCGGAUAGGACUCCGGACUGCAUGGUCUGGGGUGGAAAGCUUUUGCGGUGUGGGAUGGGCCCGCGGCCUAUCAGCUUGUUGGUGGGGUGAUGGCCUACCAAGGCGACGACGGGUAGCCGGCCUGAGGGGGUGACCGGCGACGCUGGGACUGAGAUACGGCCCAGACUCCUACGGGAGGCAGCAGUGGGGAAUAUUGCACAAUGGGCGCAAGCCUGAUGCAGCGACGCCGCGUGAGGGAUGACGGCCUUCGGGUUGUAAACCUCUUUCAGCAUCGACGAAGCGAAAGUGACGGUAGGUGCAGAAGAAGGACCGGCCAACUACGUGCCAGCAGCCGCCGCGG
Molecule: ribosomal RNA, 478 nt
Filed under: uncultured bacterium
Lineage: Bacteria
Description: partial 16S ribosomal RNA
Rfam family: Bacterial small subunit ribosomal RNA
Source: RNAcentral